CCUACGGGAGUCAGCAGUGGGGAAUAUUGCACAAUGGGGGAAACCCUGAUGCAGCGACGCCGCGUGAGUGAAGAAGUAUUUCGGUACGUACAGCUCUAUCAGCAGGGAAGAAAAUGACGGUACCUGACUAAGAAGCCCCGGCUAACUACGUGCCAGCAGCCGCGGUAAUACGUAGGGGGCAAGCGUUAUCCGGAUUUACUGGGUGUAAAGGGAGCGUAGACGGCAGCGCAAGUCUGGAGUGAAAUCCCAUGGCUUAACCAUGGAACUGCUUUGGAAACUGUGCAGCUAGAGUGCAGGAGAGGUAAGCGGAAUUCCUAGUGUAGCGGUGAAAUGCGUAGAUAUUAGGAGGAACACCAGUGGCGAAGGCGGCUUACUGGACUGUAACUGACGUUGAGGCUCGAAAGCGUGGGGAGCAAACAGGAUUAGAUACCCGAGUAGUC
RNAcentral lists this ribosomal RNA (440 nucleotides) under uncultured bacterium. RNAcentral's name for it is "partial 16S ribosomal RNA". It matches the Rfam family "Bacterial small subunit ribosomal RNA", at positions 338 to 795 of the family's 1533-position model. The record is from RNAcentral.